UCCCUGGUGGCUCAGACAGUAAAGCGCCUGCCUACAAUGCGGGAGACCCGGGUUUGAUCCCUGGGUUGGGAA
Molecule: transfer RNA, 72 nt
Filed under: Ovis aries (sheep)
Lineage: Eukaryota; Metazoa; Chordata; Mammalia; Artiodactyla; Bovidae
Rfam family: tRNA
About the family: Transfer RNA (tRNA) molecules are approximately 80 nucleotides in length. Their secondary structure includes four short double-helical elements and three loops (D, anti-codon, and T loops).
Source: Rfam by way of RNAcentral